Molecule: ribosomal RNA, 407 nt
Filed under: uncultured bacterium
Lineage: Bacteria
Description: partial 16S ribosomal RNA
Rfam family: Bacterial small subunit ribosomal RNA
Source: RNAcentral
AUUGAACGCUGGCGGCAGGCCUAACACAUGCAAGUCGAGCGGAGCGGUGGACGGGUGAGUAAUGCCUAGGAAUCGGCCUGGUAGUGGGGUAUAACGUCCGGAAACGGGCGCUGAUACCGCAUACUAUCAGAUGAGACUAGGUCGGAUUAGCUAGAUGGUGGGGUAAAGGCCAACCAAGGCGACGAUCCGUAACUGGUCUGAGAGGAUGAUAAGUCACCUGGGAACUGAGACACUGUCCAGACUCCUACGGUAGGCAGCAGUGGGGAAUAUUGGACAAUGGUCGCAAGCCUUAUCCAGCCAUGCCGCGUGUGUGAAGAAGGUCUUCGGAUUGUAAAGCACUUUAAGUUGGGAGGCGUUACCAACAGAAUAAGCACCGGCUAACUUCGUGCCAGCAGCCGCGGUAAGUC